Molecule: ribosomal RNA, 498 nt
Filed under: uncultured bacterium
Lineage: Bacteria
Description: partial 16S ribosomal RNA
Rfam family: Bacterial small subunit ribosomal RNA
Source: RNAcentral
AACGAACGCUAGCGGCAUGCUUUACACAUGCAAGUCGAACGGUAACAGGCCGCAAGGUGCUGACGAGUGGCGAACGGGUGAGUAAUGCAUCGGAACGUGCCCAGUCGUGGGGGAUAACGCAGCGAAAGCUGUGCUAAUACCGCAUACGAUCUGUGGAUGAAAGCGGGGGACCGAAAGGCCUCGCGCGAUUGGAGCGGCCGAUGUCAGAGUAGGAAGUUGGUGGGGUAAGGGCCCACCAAGCCAAGGAUCUGUAGCUGGUCUGAAAGGACGACCAGCCACACUGGGACUGAGACACGGCCCAGACUCCUACGGGAGGCAGCAGUGGGGAAUUUUGGACAAUGGGCGCAAGCCUGAUCCAGCAAUGCCGCGCGCAGGAAGAAGGCCUUCGGGUUGUAAACUGCUUUUGUACGGAGCGAAAAGGCUCUCUCUAAUACAGGGGGCUCAUGACGGUACCGUAAGAAUAAGCACCGGCUAACUACGUGCCAGCCGCCGCCGUAA